This 424-nucleotide ribosomal RNA is filed under the name uncultured Bacteroides sp. RNAcentral describes it as "bacterial SSU rRNA". It matches the Rfam family "Bacterial small subunit ribosomal RNA", at positions 338 to 777 of the family's 1533-position model. The record is from RNAcentral. Lineage: Bacteria; Pseudomonadati; Bacteroidota; Bacteroidia; Bacteroidales; Bacteroidaceae.
CCUACGGGAGGCAGCAGUGAGGAAUCUUCCACAAUGGGCGAAAGCCUGAUGGAGCAACGCCGCGUGAAGGAUGAAGGCCUUCGGGUUGUAAACUUCUUUUAUGAGUGAAGAAUAUGACGGUAACUCAUGAAUAAGCACCGGCUAACUACGUGCCAGCAGCCGCGGUCAUACGUAGGGUGCAAGCAUUAUCCGGAGUGACUGGGCGUAAAGAGUUGCGUAGGCGGUUUAAUAAGUGAAUAGUGAAACCUGGUGGCUCAACCAUACAGACUAUUAUUCAAACUGUUAAACUCGAGAAUGGUAGAGGUAACUGGAAUUUCUAGUGUAGGAGUGAAAUCCGUAGAUAUUAGAAGGAACACCGAUGGCGUAGGCAGGUUACUGGGCCAUUUCUGACGCUAAGGCACGAAAGCGUGGGGAGCGAACCGGA